AGUGAACGCUGGCGGUAGGCCUAACACAUGCAAGUCGAACGGCAGCACAGUAAGAGCUUGCUCUUACGGGUGGCGAGUGGCGGACGGGUGAGGAAUACAGCGGAAUCUACUUUUUCGGGGGGGAUAACGUAGGGAAACUUACGCUAAUACCGCAUACGACCUACGGGUGAAAGCAGGGGAUCUUCGGACCUUGCGCUAUUGAAUGAGCCGAUGUGGGAUUAGCUAGUGGGCGGGGUAAAGGCCCACCUAGGCGACGAUCCGUAGCUGGUCUGAGAGGAUGACCAGCCACACUGGAACUGAGACACGGUCCAGACUCCUACGGGAGGCAGCAGUGGGGAAUAUUGCACAAUGGGCGCAAGCCUGAUCCAGCCAUGCCGCGUGGAUGAAGAAGGCCUUCGGGUUGUAAAGUCCUUUUGUUGGGGAAGAAGAGAAGAAGGUUAAUACCCCGCCGCUUUGACGGUACCCACAGAAUAAGCACCGGCUAACUUCGUG
This 492-nucleotide ribosomal RNA is filed under the name uncultured bacterium. Its description in RNAcentral is "partial 16S ribosomal RNA". It matches the Rfam family "Bacterial small subunit ribosomal RNA", at positions 29 to 507 of the family's 1533-position model. The record is from RNAcentral.